Molecule: long non-coding RNA, 1698 nt
Organism: Rhinichthys klamathensis goyatoka
Lineage: Eukaryota; Metazoa; Chordata; Actinopteri; Cypriniformes; Leuciscidae
Exons: 7
Source: RefSeq, a predicted model, not a curated record
CUUAUUAUCGUUCUAUUUUUUAGUUAAAUUCCAGUCACACGCUUUGUCUUUGUUCUGUUUUUUAGCUCCUGUAUUUCAGGGAUGACAUCACCUCAGGGUGUGUUUCUCUUCUUUGAGGAUGACCUGCGGGUUUGAUCUCCCUGGAUCAGCCACAUACUGUUUGACAUCAUGUGACACCUGCUGAACCACUGACACACUGAAACAGACAGAGCAGUUUUUCAUGAUGUUAGCUGUUGGGACGGCUUUGAUGCAGGAAUGGUGGGCUGUCGCUGGGAGUUUGGAGUGUGUUCGGUGACGAGGAACAUAACAGAGUUAUUUCUAUAGACAGGACAGUGAGGAGAAGCCUGAGGAAUGAACACGCAAACAGAGACACAUCGAGUGCUGCAGGGACGUCCGUCCCCAGACGCUCCAAAUGGACACAGUAAGGAAGAGGUCACGUCUAUAUUUGGCAAGGUCAUCAAAGAGCCUGGAGGUCACCUGUCCUUGACCCCUCUGCUUUGUGUGCUCGACUUUCUGGAAGUUUCUCUGAUUUCCCGUGCCGUGCGGUUCAUCGAACCCCUCAGAGGGUCUUUCACCUGUCUCCUAACAGCUCCCAGAAUGCAACACUGCGCAGAACAACACAAGCCUGGCAAUUAGAGAAAUGGAAACUGGAGUGCUCUUCCGAGAGGGGAAAUAAUUGGAUGUUAGAGCGCGUAUGUGUGGACUGUCUUGAUUUACUUUUCUCAUAGCAAUUACCGUCGUCGAAUAAAAUGCAGCAAUUUCAGCAUUAUUGGAAUCGUUACCUUUACGCCCCUGUAGUUUAUUACAGACUUUCUUAUUUGGACACUGCGGAUGAAUGAAAGUAAGCGGCCAGUGGCUCAAAAUGGGAUUUCUUUGCUAAGAUAAACGUUCUUGCUGCUUUAACGCCAGUUUCCGCGCUCUCCUUUUGUCAAACUUCCAAUAGACGGCCACAUUCCCAUUGUGAGCACACCUGUUUCGUUUGCGCAAACAUGAAUCAAACAGGCUCAAGGAAACACACACACAAAAAGACAAGGACAAAAGUCAGAGGAUGUGGAAAACAAGCAUACAGUAUGUCAUGAUAUAGACGAUUGAGCACACACUUACUUGUUGAUGGAGGGCAGCAGACUCUGGAUUUAGAAGAAAACCUUUAUCGAGUCCCAUCGCCUUUGAAACGGAUGACAUCGAUCGCGUAGCCAGAAGAUUGUGACCCCUCCUGCCCUGGAGGACGAUCAAUGGACCCGCGCUUCACUUCUCCAACAUCAGCAGAGGAUUAAACAAUCUCCCGGAACAACACAAUUAACUCCGAUUUACCUGACAUCAAUAUCUAGAUGCUGGUCGAUGGAGCGUGAGAGAAAGGCAACAUCAAAACCGUGUGUGUGUGUGCGUAUGUUCACCUGGUGUUGCUCUCGCUUGACUGACUCUGGAAAUCGAUGGACUUCAGGAGUUACAGUGUUACUGACUGCAGUUCUACCAGUACACUCCAGUUCACAGACAGGACGUAUUAUUCCUGAAUCAAAGCAUGGAAAGAACGAAACCCACCACACAGAUCAGAGGGCUGUGUUCCCCAGGACAGAGAGGGGUCUUCUGGGUACCGGCUGAACUGACAACCCCUGGAGCAGCUACACGGCUCUUUGCACAAAUUGAACUGACAGCAGCUUUUUCCACAGAACGUAUAAAGCAAAGAACUGUUUUAUGUCC